ACAUGCCUACAACAUAGCAUUAAUGCACAAGAUCUCAUUACAACUCUACAGUUAAGCGCACUCAGGCUAGAUUAGUACUGGGAUGGUUGAUCGCAUGGGAAGUCCUAGUGUUUUACAUGCC
Molecule: non-coding RNA, 121 nt
Organism: Picea glauca (white spruce)
Lineage: Eukaryota; Viridiplantae; Streptophyta; Pinopsida; Pinales; Pinaceae
Source: Rfam